AGAAUAAAUAUAAUCGAGGUGUGAAUAAUUCAUAGAAAUAAACAAGGGAAAAACCUUGUUAAAACCCGAAAUAGGAUAGAAAGUCGGGCUAUGCCCCUUUGGAUCACAAGUUUUGUUUCAUGCUUCUGACAACUGACAUUCAUUAGCAUAAAUUUAGUAGUGAAGAGUCUAAACUCGGUCAAAUAUAUCAUUUGAAAUUUAACAUGAAGAUUUUAAGUUGGGAAAAUAAAAGACUGAUAUGAGUAAUUGCUACAGCGGAAUUCUAAAAUAGGAAUUUAACUCUAGCCUCAGCUCCGUCCCGUCAGCACCGGCCAGCCAACCUGAAAACAUUUGAAAGUAUUUUUGGGCUAAGUACUAAUGUACUUAGUGGGCAUGCAUUUUCUGAAACAUUUCAUAUUUUAAUAAAGACAGUUUAUCCAAUCAUACUUGACAUGACUUAAAAGGUUUUAAAUUGAAAGAACUUCUAAGCAUGUUAAAAUAAUUUUCUUUCAUUUGUGCGCACAUGUCACACUCCCUUUCUGUUACUCGCUGUGAUCCCGGACCUUUUAGCCACCGACGGAUCUCUGUCUCCCGCUUACUUGAACUGAGGGCGUAACCCAGACAAGUUUACUUUGACCUCGGGACGCUACCCAGGCAGGCCUGAUAUUUCUCAUGCUCCGGAACACAUCCAGCCGAGCACCCUUAUAACGCCUCUGGUUAGAGCCCGAUGGAGAUCAACCCACCGAGUCAACUAACAAGUGUACACAAUUCUCAAACAACGUAUUAGGUCAUAAGAGAACCUCAAUUGAUUAACUGCGCGAGCCUUAAACAGAGCAGAGUGCACAUAAACAUUUUAUUGGAUAAACAGUUUUCAUUACAUUAAAUAAACAAUUUGCAUUUCAUUGAAACAUUUAGAGCUUAAUAACUCAAUCAUACUUUGUACAUUUGGAAAGUAAGCCCCACCUGUAUAGGCAAAAGCCUGAAGUAUAACAUAAACCUGAAUCGGAAAAGCAGCGCUAAUCCUCCUGAUCACAAAGCCUACAAGAAAUCUAUUCUCAAUAGGUCUCCUGAAAUCUAAUCUUAAGUCAUGGUGUAGUGCUUAACAUUCUAUGAUUCACUUAGCCGGGUUUUCAAAAUUUAAUAAAUAAAUAAUUGAAAACAUUUCUCUUGAGUUAAGAACACCAACAAUAUUCUUACUCAUCUUUCUUUAAUAAUUGGAAUUAUAAAUAAAACCAAUUAAAUCAUAAAUACUUUUAUUGCAAAAUAUAAUGCAAUUUCAUGUCAUGCUUAGCAUAUAAUAAGUAAUAACUUAAAAUAUGCACAUAAUAAUAAUAUGAUAUUAUUAUGCAAAUUAAAAUAAUUAAUCAAACUUAAUAAGUACUAAUUAAUUAAAAUAGUGCAGUCCAAUUAAAUGGAGAAGCUGCACAGCCCAAUGAAUAAAUUAAUAAAGGCCCAACAGAUUUAAAAAAUUAAAAGCCCAACUGAAACAAAAAUAAAUAAAAUCUCGGCCCAUAACUCGNUAAAUAAAUAGUCCCAAACUCGUUACGCACAUAUACUAAAUCUUUCAUGAAACAUCCUUUAAAAUAAACUUUGAUACAUAGAAAAUAAUUCAACAACUUGAGCUCUUAAGGGGUUGUUUUGCAACAGACACCAAAUCUGCCUCGGAUCUCCAAAUGAGGCUCCAAAAGACAUUCUGGAAACUAGACAUUUCAAGGAUCAUUCUCCAAUUUGAAUCGAAUGAAAAAAAGUUCAAACGAGCAAGAUAUGCCCUCUCAAAGAUGGGUAUUUAACAAACAAAAAUCUGAAAAUUUCAGAUUUCCAGAUUACAACCAAGUCAGUGGGCUUUCUUUAAAAAUUCAUAUCUCCCUUUACAAAACUCCACUGGGAACCCCAAGGGUCAAUCUGGAAACUAGGGAGAGAUCAUAACACUCUCCAGUUGGAUUUACUCCAAGAAAAUUCAUGGUUUAGAAGAUAUGACUGUCUAAAGUUCAGUGCACAAAAAGAGUUCAAGUUUGGCAGAUUCAGAACAUAAAUCGGAAAAACCACUUUAGGCUUCACCAAAAAUUCUAAAACUGAACAAGUAAGUUCCCAACAUGUCAGUGAAUAUUCAGUAGAAAGAUAGGCUUGAGAAUGAAAGAUUUAAGUCGGCCUUUGAGACCUCAAAGUCGUAGGUUUGUAAAACCUACUGGAUGGUACAAGGAAUAAGAACUAGAUUUCAAGAAUUUAUACCGGUUGUUUCCCUUACUAAAAAUGGUGAGGCUGAUGCCAAAAGAAAGAUACGGGAGUAUAGAGUGACAUACUCAAGUUUCAAAGGUUUUCAACGAUUGAAACUUGACUUAUGGCCUCCCAAAGAUGGUUUACCAAAAAUGUAUUCCAGAUGGGCAGUGAUGUUUAAAAAUUCAUAAAUAAAACAUGAGAGCUCUAAAUAUUCUUAAAUUUUACCAUAGUAUAGAAAACAUAUUAAACACAAUACACAAUUAAUUUGGGAAUUUUUGGGAACCGUUUGGAUGGCUGGAAUCGCCUUGCAAUAUACUGCCGGAGCAGUGUGCUUAUGGCAGAUUCGCUGCCUUACCUCAUGCACGGUUUUUCACCCAAUAAACUCUACCAAAAUAAUCAUCCAAAAUCAUAAAACAUAUCCUCACAUAAUAUAGCACACAUAUGUGUAAAAAUCCAUGGUCUUAAAGCAUUUUAUGUUGAGAAAAACCAAAGAAAACUCACCCUCGAAGCACAAUCUUCACUCUAACUUACGCCCUAGGUUUCCCACGCUCUCCCUUACUUUGAUACUACUCUUGGAGCUUAAAGGCUUCUAUGAAUUCCAACUUUGGUUGAAUGUUGCUGUUGUUUCUUUUGUCUAAGAUUGAGCUUUUUCUUGAGAGAGAUAAUUUGGUAAACUCGGGAAUGAAUCGUGUGUGAGAUGAAGUGGAAAGCAUGAUUGAAAUUAUUAGUGAUGAAUGAGGUGUGCUUGAGGUAUAGUGCAGGGGAUUGAUGGUGAUGUUGGUGGUGGAAGUGGGUGGUGAUGUUGAUGGAGUAAGUGGGUGUAGGAGUAGGUGGGAGUAAUAAAAUAAAAAUCUUUCGGGUUGUAGUAUGAAAACGGUAAUAAUCGUUCAGUGUUUGCUUAAAUAAAUAGCUCAUGAAAAUGCUUGAAUGCUAAAUUAAAUAAAUAUGCGACGC
RNAcentral lists this long non-coding RNA (3150 nucleotides) under Salvia miltiorrhiza (redroot sage). RNAcentral describes it as "long non-coding RNA (SMIL_LNC010447)". The record is from RNAcentral. Lineage: Eukaryota; Viridiplantae; Streptophyta; Magnoliopsida; Lamiales; Lamiaceae.